UAAAAAAUAAACUCUCGAGGCCUCUCCCCCGCUGUGCCAUCGAUCUGCAUAAAUCCCUCGCCGGAGCGCACUCCCUCCGCUGCCAUGGCUCUCCAGUGGGGGAGAGUCUCCACGCACAUUGGGCGUAUUUCUCCAUCCUCGUCGCGUCACCGUCGACGUCAGUGAGCAGGGGAGGCGGCCACCGUGAGAGGAGGAGGGGGACGAGGAGCACUGGGGUCGCACGUCGGCACAUCUCCGUUGCACCCCACGCCGGGGACCCGUGCGGAAGCGAAGGGCCGAAGGGGAUGCGCGUCGGAGCGGCAGGGGACGCCGGCCGGCUCUGUUACGGUCUGUCACAAAGGGUGAAGCCAUAUAUCUGCACAAUUGCGUUGAAGCUUGACGGGCGGCUGGAACAACAUUCAGUUGAAUCUCUCCGACCGGAUGAAAAGAGGAGGAGCUGCCGCCCGAGUUGAAGCUCUACCUUCCAGUUCUUCAGAUAUGGUGGAGGGAGAGAGUAGACACCACUGUUCGUGGCUUCCCAGGAGGCAGGAGCCCCGGUGACAUCGACGCGUAUCGCUGCGACAUCCAUUAGCGCAUAGAUAUGCAUAAAGCAUCAGAAUGUUUAAUUGUACGCUAGUUGUUGUCUGAAUUGACCUGUGUAAAGAUGUCGCUAACUGAACCCUUGUCCAGUACUGUACCUGCCGGUGCAAGUGCGUUGUUGCAAGCAAAUGCCAUACGGGCCACCCCGGUGCCUAGCCUUCCAUUUAAUCUGGAAAGAGGAUUUUGUGCAACCCAUUUUAUUUUUAUGAAUUUCUC
Triticum dicoccoides is the source of this 795-nucleotide long non-coding RNA. RefSeq lists it as uncharacterized. The record is from RefSeq and is a predicted model, not a curated record. Lineage: Eukaryota; Viridiplantae; Streptophyta; Magnoliopsida; Poales; Poaceae. The transcript has 3 exons.